RNAcentral lists this long non-coding RNA (827 nucleotides) under Elaeis guineensis (African oil palm). Its description in RNAcentral is "long non-coding RNA (EGUI_LNC081468)". The record is from RNAcentral. Lineage: Eukaryota; Viridiplantae; Streptophyta; Magnoliopsida; Arecales; Arecaceae.
UGAUAUAAGGCCUAUGAAACUUUGUUAACUUUAUUGAUAUAUUAAAGUUAAAAUUUGGAUUGUUAUAUUUUUUAUUUAAAUUAUUGACUAAUUGUUCCGUUGUGAAGUAUUGGUAUCGUGAUAAGAUGCCUUGCAUGCUUAUGGAAAGAGUUUUCUAUGAGUAUGCGGUGGUUGCCAUGACCCUCGAUUCACAAUCUCGGUUCGGAGGUAUGACAAUUAAGGUGGUAUCAAAGCAUAAGUAGAUAAAUUAUGAAACAUAGAAUCAGAUAUAAAAUGAGUGUAAGUGGAUAGACACUAGAAAUAUUAUUGUGUAGAUCUUUGAUGAUUGUAGUGGGAGAAAUCUUUAUAAUUUUUGAUUAAACAUUAAGAUUAUGUAUGAAAGGAUCACGAGAGAUUAUGACAUAUAGAGUUUGAAAUAUGAUGGAUGAUUUAUGGAUCAUGAUAUGAUUAGUUAGAUUUUGAUCAAAAGUAAUUAUAAAAGGAUUGAUAUAAAAUUUUAUUGUGCAUUAUGGUUAUUAAUUUGAUCAUUGAUUAUUCAAGUCAAUCGUAAGCUCAAAUUUGAUAUGAGAAUAAUACUAUGAUAUUACUUCUACUUGAGAAGUUGACUAUUAUUGGCAAGAUAAAGAUUUGAUGAUAAAAUAUUGUUUUAGAAUUCGUGUUUGAUUGGAAUAUUUAUCAAAAUUGAACUUGAUACAUGGAUCACAUAUAAAGUGGCAUAUUAGGAUGAAUGCAUAUUUAGGGAUAUUGCAAAGAAGCUUAUUUCUUAUUGAUGAAAUGGAUUAUGAGAUUGUAAGAUAUUCAUUGUACUAGAAUUUUUAAUCAUCAUC